Long non-coding RNA from Felis catus (domestic cat), 3398 nucleotides. RefSeq lists it as uncharacterized. The transcript is spliced from 4 exons. NCBI's taxonomy places the organism in Eukaryota, Metazoa, Chordata, Mammalia, Carnivora, Felidae. The record is from RefSeq and is a predicted model, not a curated record.
CUCCCCUGUCCAGCCCCGCGGGCCGCCCUCGCCGCCGCCGCUGCCUGUGGCCGCUGGAAUCCCUGUCGCCCCGGGACUCAGCUGACAGCGGACAGACAAUGAUCUCAAGCCCCCCAGGGCAGGGACAGGUCACCUGAGUUUCCACUGUCUCCCCAGGUCUCAGCACGGGGCUGGCACCUGGAAGGUGUUCAGUAAGUGUGGGCUGAAUGAAUGCAUGAGCUGAUGAGAACCGGGGUGCUGUGCAGAGACCCCCGAUCCUGGGAAGAAUGGACCUUGUCUGGAGUUUCUAAGCCUCCUAGACCAGGAGCCAGAAGAUGUUGGAGACAGGACCAUCCCUGAAGCCACUUUCAGGGAAGGAGAGGAAAAGGCCCUUUAACCAAGCCUCACUUUGUACCAGCCUAACCUGCUACAUCUCAGUUCUUAGUGAACACGAGUGGAGGAAGAAAAGUUAUCAGGAGGAGACGCUUCGCAAGAGAGUGAUUUGAGGAAGAGGAUUGUCAGAGUUGGUACAAAAUUUGCAUCUAUUUUCCAAAGACCGUGCGACACUUGCCCUGGGCAAGAGGACCCGCACUGGACACAAUCCAGAGUCUGUGUUCCCAUCCCAUUUUUCUCUCAAGUUAACCAUAAGUCUCCCCAGUGAUCAAAAAAAAAAAACAAAAAAAAACAAAAAAAAAAACAACCUGUUAAUUUCAAAGUCAUCUGAGUCCCUGAGGAGCCUGAGUCCCUUAUUUUGUGAUUAUUGACCUUAAUUCUUUUUCCCAUUUAAAAUAUUGUGGUAAAGUCGAUAUAACCUAAAAUUUAGUCAUUUUAGUAAUUUUUGCCUGUAUGGUUCAGUGGCCUUAGGUACAUUGACAUGACUGCAGCCAUCACCACUGUUCAUCUCUAGAACUUCUUCAUCAGCACCACGUGAAACUGUCCCCCUUGAACAUUAACGCCCCACUCCCCCUUUCACAGAGCCCCUGGCAACACCCUUGCUGCUUUUGGCCUCUGUGAACUUGACAUCUCUAGCUUCCUCAUAUAAGUGGAAUCAUACAGGAUUUGUCCUUUUGUGAGUGGCUAUGUCACUUAGCAUAAGCUUCCUCAAGGUUCAUUCACAUUGUAGCCCGUGUCAGAAUUUCCUUCGCUUUUAAGGCCGAAUAAUAUUCCACUGCAUGGAUAAGCCACACUUUGUUUCUCCGUCAUCUGUUCGUAGACACUUGGGUUGUUUCUACCUUUUGGCUACUGACUAAUGCUACUGUGAACAUGGUGUACAAAUAUCUGUCCAAACCUCUGCUUUUGAUUCUUUUUAUGCAUAUAUCUAGAACUAGAAUUGCUGGAUCAAAUGGUAAUUUGAUGUUUAAUCUUUUGAGGAACCGUCACACUUUUCCAUGGUGGUUGCGUGAUUUUACACUCUACCAGCAGUAUCCACAUCCUCGCCAGGUGCCUCAAAAGAGAGUUUAUUCUUUAUAGGGCGUCGGGUGCAAAUCUAAUUGUUGGGAAGUUCUUUUAUCCAGAGUUCAAAUACUCUUGUAUCCUUUACAGUUGGCCUGGCCUGGCCCUGAAUCAGCCCAUCUUGAGUCUGCUCCUUCUUUCCCUGGGUGUUUCCCUUCAGCAGCCUGGGUCAGCCGCUGCCCAAGCCAUCAGCACACUGGCCUGCUCCCUGUGCAUGCCUGCUGGCCCCUGCCUUGUUCUGACGGAUGCCAACCAUGGGGUUUCCUCACUGAUUGCUCGUGAGGCGCCUCCUGCCCUGAGUGGGUGCAGACGCCGACAGGACAGGGGGACUCCACUCCCUUUCUCAAGGAGGGUGAGUUAUUGGAGGGAAUGCUGGCUCCCUGAGGAGUUAAAUCAUCCCUUGACUCAGACAAGAGCCCUUUGCCCCACAGGAGAGCAUUAUUCAUCCCGGCACCCGCGGGACCAGGCUCUAUGUCAGGGGAAAGUGCGGCUCCUAUUCCCCUCGCUCAGAAACUCAUAAAUCAUCCCUACUAGAAUUUCAGCUCUUCAGAUAGACAAGGAACAGCUGGCCAAGCCAGGUUUCCCAAGUGCCCCAACAGUUUGUUCUAGGGGGUGGUAGGGGAUGCAUCAGAGGAUCAGGGGACCCUGGACACCAGGGCUCUGCUUGGACUUCCCUUGAGGCCAGAUGACUUUCCCACUCCUGGUCCAUGUGAGACAGAAGGACUUCAGGUCCAGCACCCCCCAGGACUUGAAUGGCCUUGGAGGGAAUUCAUGAAAAGCCUGAGUGUUCUGUUUGUGGUGGCCACCCUGCCCCCAGGCCAGCACUUGGGCAAGACCAGGCUGCCCUGAAGUAACAUGGUUCUCCCUGUGCCUCAACUUCCUCAUCUGUCAAAUGGAAGAAAGACUGGACAAUCUCUUUGGCUCCUUUCACCUGUAACAUUCUACGAUACCAGCCAUCCAAGUGUUCCUUGUGGACUGACCACAAGUCCAAAUCAGCUGGUGCUGAGGUCUGUUUGGCUGUUUCAAUGGGAGCGGAGGAUUGGAUUGACCAUGUUGGAAGGUGUAUAAACUAUGAAGAUAGCACCAGAUGCAUGAACAGUCACUUUAAAGAAUCAACCUGAUGUGUUUUCUUAGGCACAGCUGGAUUCACAGGCAGAUAACAGUGUGAGUGUAUAGUGUGCCUGUCUAGUGUGUCUAUUUUGAGGCUCUGGAAUCCCUGACAGGAGAUAUAGUUUAGUGUUGACACCAUUGCUAGCUGGAGUGUCGAGAACAAUGCUGCCACCAGCACACCUUUGGAUGUGUGGGGCGGGCCAGCUAGGUGGUUACAGGGAGUACUAAGGAGCCCCCAGUCUUGACCAUGGCUGCAGGUGGAUCUCACCACAAAUUCUGGUUGACUGUUCUCCAAAUGUGAGCUGUUGGCCCCCACAUCUCCUAAGGGGUUGAAAUAGCACAAAUCAUUGCCACCACCAGUAAAUAAGGUCUAUCAAUGGGUCUAGGAAUGUGAACAGAUGGAAGGGGAAAAGUACUGGAUUAGGAACCAGAACGCUGGAGUGCAUACCCACUAAUCAGCUGGGUGACUUGGCAAACAGUGGAGAGGGGGAGUGUUCUCUGCCCAGCCUCUCCCUAACCCCCAACCCUGACCCUGCAUGAGGUCCAGCAGCAUAUGAUGUCCCAAAUAUUUCAAUCGUACUUAACUUUGUCUGAGUUGGAUUUUGGUCACUUGCAGCUAAAGGAGUUGCAAAACAGAAGACCAUGUCACCUCUAGCACCCCGUUGAUUCAUUUUAUUCAUUAAAAUAAGGGUACUGAAAUAGAUAAUUGCUGAAGUUUUCUCAGCUCUGUGAUUCUACUUUUGCCUAUGACAUGCGAGAAAACAUGCUCCAGCUCAGUUAGCUUACGAUUCAAAUUGAAAAAAUAAAAAGUAAAAUAAUUAAAAAAUUGAAAAAAAGGAGUGUCUGGGUGGCUCAGU